This 254-nucleotide ribosomal RNA is filed under the name uncultured bacterium. RNAcentral's name for it is "partial 16S ribosomal RNA". It matches the Rfam family "Bacterial small subunit ribosomal RNA", at positions 524 to 776 of the family's 1533-position model. The record is from RNAcentral.
UACAGAGGGGGCAAGCGUUGUUCGGAAUUACUGGGCGUAAAGGGCGCGUAGGCGGCCUUCUAAGUCGAACGUGAAAUCCCCGGGCUCAACCCGGGAACUGCGUCCGAUACUGGAAGGCUUGAAUCCGGGGAGAGGGAUGUGGAAUUCCAGGUGUAGCGGUGAAAUGCGUAGAUAUCUGGAGGAACACCGGUGGCGAAGGCGACAUCCUGGACCGGUAUUGACGCUGAGGCGCGAAAGCCAGGGGAGCAAACGGG